This 70-nucleotide transfer RNA is filed under the name Marmota monax (woodchuck). Its description in RNAcentral is "tRNA.Ala". The record is from RNAcentral. Lineage: Eukaryota; Metazoa; Chordata; Mammalia; Rodentia; Sciuridae.
GGGCUGGGGCUCAGGGGCAGAGUGCUUGCCUUGCAUGCGUGAGGCCCUGGGUUCAAUCCUCAGCACCACA